CGUAGGCGGACUUUUAAGUUAGAGGUGAAAUCCCAGGGCUCAACCCUGGAACUGCCUUUAAUACUGGAAGUCUUGAGUUCGAGAGAGGUGAGUGGAAUUCCGAGUGUAGAGGUGAAAUUCGUAGAUAUUCGGAGGAACACCAGUGGCGAAGGCGGCUCACUGGCUCGAUACUGACGCUGAGGUGCGAAAGUGUGGGGAGCAAACA
Molecule: ribosomal RNA, 205 nt
Filed under: uncultured bacterium
Lineage: Bacteria
Description: partial 16S ribosomal RNA
Rfam family: Bacterial small subunit ribosomal RNA
Source: RNAcentral